Molecule: ribosomal RNA, 831 nt
Filed under: uncultured Symbiodinium
Lineage: Eukaryota; Dinophyceae; Suessiales; Symbiodiniaceae
Description: partial Eukaryotic large subunit ribosomal RNA
Rfam family: Eukaryotic large subunit ribosomal RNA
Source: RNAcentral
AGCCCGUCUGGAAACACGGACCAAGGAGUCUUACAAUAAUGCGAGUGUUUGUCAUGGAAUGACGAACGCGCAGCGAAAGCGAAAUAGCUCUUGAACACGAGCGGGGCCUCUCUUUCCUCGGAAGGAGAAUACACUUGAAGCAUUACUGUAGGGACCCGAAAGAUGGUGAACUAUGCCUGAGCAACUUGAAGUCAGGCGAAAGCCUGAUGGAGGAGUGCAAACGGUUCUGACGUGCAAAUCGAUCGUGAGAUUUAGGUAUAGGGGCGAAAGACUAAUCGAACCAUCUAGUAGCUGGUUCCCUCCGAAAUUUCCCUUAGGAUAGCUGCAACUUAUACAGUUUUAUCAGGUAAAGCGAAUGAUUAGAGGCAUCUGGGCCGAAAUGGUUUGGACCUAUUCUCAAACUUUAAAUGGGUAAGAACCGACACUUGCUUAAGUGAAGUGUCGAGUUGAAUGGAAGUUGUUAGUGGGCCAUAGCUGGUAAGCAGCUCUGGCGAUGCGGGAUGAACCGAACGUGAUGUUAAAGUGCCAGAGUGCCCGCUCAUCAGAUCCCACAAAAGGUGUUGGUUCAUAUAGACAGCAGGACGGUGGCCAUGGAAGUCGGAAUCCGCUAAGGAGUGUGUAACAACUCACCUGCCGAAUGAACUAGCCCUGAAAAUGGAUGGCGCUGAAGCGGGCCACUUAUACAUCACCAUCAGCGCAAGAUGUAGGCGUUGAUGAGUAGGAGGGCGUGCGGCUUGUGACGCAUCCUUCGGCGUGAGCCGGGGUGAAACAGGCUGUAGUGCAGAUCUUGGUGAUAGUAGCAAAUAUUCAAAUGAGAACUUUGAAGACUGA